UUCCAGACUCCUACGGGAGGCAGCAGUGGGGAAUAUUGCACAAUGGGGGAAACCCUGAUGCAGCAACGCCGCGUGAGUGAAGAAGUCAUUCGUGAUGUAAAGCUCUAUCGGCAGGGAAGAAAAUGACGGUACCUGAGUAAGAAGCCCCGGCUAACUACGUGCCAGCAGCCGCGGUAAUACGUAGGGGGCAAGCGUUAUCCGGAUUUACUGGGUGUAAAGGGCGUGCAGCCGGGCUGACAAGUCAGAUGUGAAAUCCCGCGGCUCAACCGCGGAACUGCAUUUGAAACUGUCAGUCUUGAGUACCGGAGAGGUCAUCGGAAUUCCUUGUGUAGCGGUGAAAUGCGUAGAUAUAAGGAAGAACACCAGUGGCGAAGGCGGAUGACUGGACGGCAACUGACGGUGAGGCGCGAAAGCGUGGGGAGCAAACAGGAUUAGAUACCCGAGUA
Molecule: ribosomal RNA, 446 nt
Filed under: uncultured bacterium
Lineage: Bacteria
Description: bacterial SSU rRNA
Rfam family: Bacterial small subunit ribosomal RNA
Source: RNAcentral